This 367-nucleotide non-coding RNA is filed under the name Arabidopsis thaliana (thale cress). The record is from RNAcentral. Lineage: Eukaryota; Viridiplantae; Streptophyta; Magnoliopsida; Brassicales; Brassicaceae.
GCCGUAGGCUUCUUCACUGUGAAGCAAACACAAGUUUUUGACAGAAGAGAAGAACACAUACACUCAAGAUCUCGAUGCAAUUCUCACACGAAUAAGGUAAGGAAAAGGCGUACUUAUCGCCGGAGGAGAAGCUGUAGAGCUUGCCGGAGGCGGAGACGACGAGAAGAGCGACGGAUGCGUCACAGAGAACAGAAAGCUGACGAGCUUUCUCGAUGAGACCGUUGCGACGUUUGGAGAAGGUGACUUGUCGGCUACUUUUGUUCUCAAUUCGCUUGAUUUCUAGUUUUUUUCUUCCCAUGGCUUCUCUCCGAGAGGGCUUUGUGCCCUAAUUUGAUCCUCAGGUUUGGGUUCAAGUCGCCGGAGAUAC